Molecule: long non-coding RNA, 233 nt
Filed under: Salvia miltiorrhiza (redroot sage)
Lineage: Eukaryota; Viridiplantae; Streptophyta; Magnoliopsida; Lamiales; Lamiaceae
Description: long non-coding RNA (SMIL_LNC013718)
Source: RNAcentral
UUUUUCGAUUUCAUGUGGUGGCAGAAACUGUUGGGUUUCUGAUAAGAGCUGGUGAUGAUGCUAUGCCUUGCCUUGGUCUGUUGUCUAAGUCGACUGAUGGAUUUUUUUUAUGUAUGUGAUGCUAUGGCUGAAUCUAUUGGUAUGGAUCGAAACGUGAAACUGUAUUUGAUUGAUGCUUUGCCUUGGUCUGUCGCCUUGUGAUGACAAUUGAUGACUCAAUGUCUGAGGGUUAC